This 1938-nucleotide ribosomal RNA is filed under the name human metagenome. RNAcentral describes it as "bacterial LSU rRNA". It matches the Rfam family "Bacterial large subunit ribosomal RNA", at positions 1 to 1977 of the family's 2925-position model. The record is from RNAcentral.
CUAAGUGACAAAGCGUACAAGGUGGAUGCCUUGGCAAUCAGAGGCGAAGAAGGACGUGCUAAUCUGCGAAAAGCUUGGAUGAGUCGAUAAGAGGCGUUUAAUCCAAGAUGUCCGAAUGGGGAAACCCAGUAGAUGAAGAAUCUACUAUCACUUACUGAAUUCAUAGGUAAGUGAGGCGAACCGGGAGAACUGAAACAUCUAAGUACCCCGAGGAAAAGAAAUCAACCGAGAUUUCGUUAGUAGCGGCGAGCGAACGCGAAGGAGCCUGUUAGUGAUAAUGACAGAGACAGAGGAACAAGCUGGGAAGCUUGGCGAUACAGGGUGAUAGCCCCGUACUCGAAGUCCAGGUCAUGGUACUAAGCUAACGACAAGUAGGGCGGGACACGUGAUAUCCUGUUUGAAGAAGGGGGGACCAUCCUCCAAGGCUAAAUACUCCUGAUUGACCGAUAGUGAACCAGUACUGUGAAGGAAAGGCGAAAAGAACCCCGGUGAGGGGAGUGAAAUAGAACCUGAAACCUUGUACGUACAAGCAGUGGGAGCCCUUUAAGGGUGACUGCGUACCUUUUGUAUAAUGGGUCAGCGACUUAUAUUUUGUAGCGAGGUUAACCGAAUAGGGGAGCCGAAGGGAAACCGAGUCUUAACUGGGCGUCUAGUUGCAAGGUAUAGACCCGAAACCCGGUGAUCUAGCCAUGGGCAGGUUGAAGGUUGGGUAACACUAACUGGAGGACCGAACCGACUAAUGUUGAAAAAUUAGCGGAUGACUUGUGGCUGGGGGUGAAAGGCCAAUCAAACCGGGAGAUAGCUGGUUCUCCCCGAAAUCUAUUUAGGUAGAGCCUUGAGCGGACACCUUCGGGGGUAGAGCACUGUUUCGGCUAGGGGUCCAUCCCGGAUUACCAACCCGAUGCAAACUACGAAUACCGAAGAGUGAUACUCAGGAGACACACGGCGGGUGCUAACGUCCGUCGUGGAGAGGGAAACAACCCAGACCGCCAGCUAAGGUCCCAAAGUCUAUAUUAAGUGGGAAACGAAGUGGGAAGGCUUAGACAGCUAGGAUGUUGGCUUAGAAGCAGCCAUCAUUUAAAGAAAGCGUAAUAGCUCACUAGUCGAGUCGGCCUGCGCGGAAGAUGUAACGGGGCUCAAAUAUAGCACCGAAGCUGCGGCAUCAGACGAAAGUCUGUUGGGUAGGGGAGCGUUCUGUAAGCGGAUGAAGAUGGCUCGAGAGGGCUGUUGGACGUAUCAGAAGUGCGAAUGCUGACAUAAGUAACGAUAAAACGGGUGAAAAACCCGUUCGCCGGAAGACCAAGGGUUCCUGUCCAACGUUAAUCGGGGCAGGGUGAGUCGGCCCCUAAGGCGAGGCUGAAAAGCGUAGUCGAUGGGAAACGGGUUAAUAUUCCCGUACUUGGAUAAACUGCGAUGUGGGGACGGAGCAGGUUAGGUUAUCGCACUGUUGGAUAUGUGCGUUUAAGUUUGUAGGUGUGAAGUUUAGGCAAAUCCGGACUUCUUUAACACUGAGAGAUGAUGACGAGGCUCUACGGAGCUGAAGUAACCGAUACCACACUUCCAGGAAAAGCCACUAAGCUUCAGGUUUAUCUAAACCGUACUGAAAACCGACACAGGUGGUCAGGUAGAGAAUACUCAGGCGCUUGAGAGAACUCGGGUGAAGGAACUAGGCAAAAUAGCACCGUAACUUCGGGAGAAGGUGCGCCGGCGUAGAUUGUAGUCCCUUGCGGAUGAAGGUUGAACCGGUCGAAGAUACCAGCUGGCUGCAACUGUUUAUUAAAAACACAGCACUCUGCAAACACGAAAGUGGACGUAUAGGGUGUGACGCCUGCCCGGUGCUGGAAGGUUAAUUGAAGAUGUGAGAGCAUCGGAUCGAAGCCCCAGUAAACGGCGGCCGUAACUAUAACGGUCCUAAGGUAGCGAAAUUCCUUGUCGGGU